GGUGAACGCUGGCGGCGUGCCUAAUACAUGCAAGUAGAACGCUGAAGGAGGAGCUUGCUCUUCUGGAUGAGUUGCGAACGGGUGAGUAACGCGUAGGUAACCUGCCUGGUAGCGGGGGAUAACUAUUGGAAACGAUAGCUAAUACCGCAUGACAACAGUUAUUGCAUGAUAACUGUUUAAAAGGGGCAACUGCUCCACUACCAGAUGGACCUGCGUUGUAUUAGCUAGUUGGUGAGGUAACGGCUCACCAAGGCGACGAUACAUAGCCGACCUGAGAGGGUGAUCGGCCACACUGGGACUGAGACACGGCCCAGACUCCUACGGGAGGCAGCAGUAGGGAAUCUUCGGCAAUGGACGGAAGUCUGACCGAGCAACGCCGCGUGAGUGAAGAAGGUUUUCGGAUCGUAAAGCUCUGUUGUAAGAGAAGAACGAGUGUGAGAGUGGAAAGUUCACACUGUGACGGUAUCUUACCAGAAAGGGACGGCUAACUACGUG
This 495-nucleotide ribosomal RNA is filed under the name uncultured bacterium. RNAcentral describes it as "partial 16S ribosomal RNA". It matches the Rfam family "Bacterial small subunit ribosomal RNA", at positions 28 to 507 of the family's 1533-position model. The record is from RNAcentral.